Molecule: transfer RNA, 53 nt
Filed under: Pseudotaxiphyllum maebarae
Lineage: Eukaryota; Viridiplantae; Streptophyta; Bryopsida; Hypnales; Plagiotheciaceae
Description: partial tRNA-Phe
Rfam family: tRNA
About the family: Transfer RNA (tRNA) molecules are approximately 80 nucleotides in length.
Source: RNAcentral
GGCCGGAAUAGCUCAGUUGGUAGAGCAGAGGACUGAAAAUCCUCGUGUCACCA